RNAcentral lists this ribosomal RNA (468 nucleotides) under uncultured bacterium. Its description in RNAcentral is "partial 16S ribosomal RNA". It matches the Rfam family "Bacterial small subunit ribosomal RNA", at positions 28 to 507 of the family's 1533-position model. The record is from RNAcentral.
GACGAACGCUGGCGGCGUGCUUAACACAUGCAAGUCGAACGGAAAGGCCCUGCUUUUGUGGGGUGCUCGAGUGGCGAACGGGUGAGUAACACGUGAGUAACCUGCCCUUGACUUUGGGAUAACUUCAGGAAACUGGGGCUAAUACCGGAUAGGAGCUCCUGCUGCAUGGUGGGGGUUGGAAAGUUUCGGCGGUUGGGGAUGGACUCGCGGCUUAUCAGCUUGUUGGUGGGGUAGUGGCUUACCAAGGCUUUGACGGGUAGCCGGCCUGGGAGGGUGACCGGCCACAUUGGGACUGAGAUACGGCCCAGACUCCUACGGGAGGCAGCAGUGGGGAAUAUUGCACAAUGGGCGGAAGCCUGAUGCAGCAACGCCGCGUGGGGGAUGACGGCCUUCGGGUUGUAAACCACUUUCGCCUGUGACGAAGCGUGAGUGACGGUAAUGGGUAAAGAAGCACCGGCUAACUACGUG